This 253-nucleotide ribosomal RNA is filed under the name uncultured bacterium. Its description in RNAcentral is "partial 16S ribosomal RNA". It matches the Rfam family "Bacterial small subunit ribosomal RNA", at positions 524 to 776 of the family's 1533-position model. The record is from RNAcentral.
UACGUAGGUGGCGAGCGUUGUCCGGAUUUACUGGGCGUAAAGAGCGCGCAGGCGGCCUGAUCAGUCGAAUGUGAAAGCCCCCGGCUCAACUGGGGAGGGUCAUUCGAUACUGUCAGGCUAGAAGGCAGGAGAGGGAAGUGGAAUUCCCGGUGUAGUGGUGAAAUGCGUAGAUAUCGGGAGGAACACCAGUGGCGAAGGCGACUUUCUGGCCCGGUACUGACGCUGAGGUGCGAAAGCGUGGGGAGCAAACAGG